Non-coding RNA from Caenorhabditis elegans, 21 nucleotides. The record is from Ensembl. Lineage: Eukaryota; Metazoa; Nematoda; Chromadorea; Rhabditida; Rhabditidae.
UAACGAGAUAAAUUAAUCUGC